This 3468-nucleotide ribosomal RNA is filed under the name Triticum aestivum (bread wheat). RNAcentral's name for it is "partial small subunit ribosomal RNA". The record is from RNAcentral. Lineage: Eukaryota; Viridiplantae; Streptophyta; Magnoliopsida; Poales; Poaceae.
AUGGGUAAUGAGAUGGGCAACAACAACGUUAUCGGUCAACAAGAGGAGAGUGCUAAGGAUUUCGACAAAACCAUGGCCAACGCAGAUUAUUCACAUGAGCUCAACAACAUAAAUAGUGAGAAAGAUACGGAGAAGGAUGGCACUAAGGAUGUAGAUAUGCUGGAGGUAUUAAAGGCCCCCUUCAUCUCUAGUAGUGGAGAUAAGAAAAUGGCUUCAGAUCAAACAAAAUUGUCCGCUGCAAAUGAAAGCUUAGAUGAGAAGAAUAGGGUCUCACCUCUGGAUCACACAUCAACAGAAGAUGAUGAUGGGAAUAAAAACUUACCUACAGAACAAGAUAAGGAGAAGGAUGGCACUAAGCAUGUAGAUAUGUCAGAGGUGUUAAAGGCCCCUGUCAUUUUUAAUGGUGGAGAUGAUCAAAUGGCUUCAGAUCAAAGAAAAAUCUCUGCUGCAAAUGAAGACAUCGAUGAGAAGAACAGGGGCUCACUUGAGGAUCAUACAUCAACACAGGAUGAUGAUGGAAACAGUAACUUACCUACAGAACAAGGUGAUGAAACACAGGAGGACAAUGGAACUGAAACAGCCACAAAUUCUGCAGAAACAGUUGCCCAUGUCGGCACCACAACUGAAGAUAUAACAAGCAACAAGGAUACUUCAUCAUCUGAUGAGCAAUUCAGACAACUUGAGCACGAAACUACAGAGAAAAAUGAAGAAAAUACCACUGCAAAUCCCGCCAUGUUGUUAGAGGAAAACAUUGAAGGUCUGCCAGAACACAAGGAGGAAUCUUGUACUCAAGAAGUUGCAGGGGCGAGUGAUAAUGUAGUUGGAGGAGAUACAGUUGAAAACCUAGAAGGACAAAACGGAGUGUCAACAGUGGUGGGUGAUAAUCUAGUUGGAGAGACUACAUCAUCAACUGAAUCAAUUAUCAGUGGUUAUCUUGAUGACGAGAGUAAGGAGGUUGUCGUCGACGAUGAGCCUAGAGAAAGAGAAAAUUCGUCAUAUGUAGGACCAGAAGGCGACACCAACCAAGAAACAUUCCAGAAUGAAGAGAAGCAAGAAAUCUGUGAGAUAGGCAAAAUCAAUACCUGUAAAACUAUAACAGAAGAUACUGUGGUUGAAAGUGCUGAAGUGCUAGAAGAAGACAAGAAGAUCCAAGGAUUGGAAAAUCAGGAGGAAGAAUUCCCCAAAUGUAGUAAAUAUGGUGCUCUUCAUAAUGUUGAAGCCGUUUCCCAAUUUCAGUCAGCUUUAGCACACCCCAGUGCAGCAAGUGGCAAAGAAUUUCAGAAACAUGAACUGAGUAUAGCAGAACGGAUGUCGGAUUCUGUAAGUGUAGCAAUGGAGCACAAUGUAAUUAAAACAGCAGAGAAAGAGCAAGGGGGAAUUGUUGAAAAGGAUGUUGCAGACAAGAAUGAAGAAGAUAAUUUUGAAGGGGAUCAGAAAUCUGAUGGUAUGUCAGAGGUGUUAAAGGACCCUGUCAUUUCUAACGGUGGAAAUGAUCAAAUGGCUUCAGAUCAAACAAAAACCUCUGUUGGAAAUGAAGACUUAGAUGAGAAGAACAGGGACUCACUUCAGGAUCAUACAUCAACACAAGAUGAUGAUGGAAAUAGUAACCUACCUACAGAACAAGGAGAUGAAUCACAAGAGGACAGUGGAACUGAAACAACCACAGAUGGUACAGAAAAAGUUGCCCCUGUCGGCACCACAACUGAAGACAUGACAAGUAGCAAUGAUACAUCACCAUCUGAUGAGCAAUUCAAACAAGUUGUACACAAAACGACGGAGACAAGUGAAGAAAGUACCAUACCAAAUCCCCUCACAUUGUUAGAGGGAAUUAUUGAAAGUGCGCCACAAGAUGGGGAGGAAUAUUGCAGUCAAGAAGCUGCAGUGGUGGAUGAUAAUCUAGUUGGAGAAGAUACAGUUGAAAGCCUAGAAGAAAGACAAGCUGGAGCGUCGGCAGUAGAGGAUCUAUGGACACCAUCGUCGGUACAAGGAGAGGAUACAUCAUCAACUGAAUCAAUUAUCACUGCUUAUCAUGAUGAUGACACCAACCAAGAAACAUCCAAGAAUGAAGAGAAGCAGGAAAUCUGUGAAAUGGCCAAAAGCAAUAGCUGCAAAACCAUAACAGUAGAUGCUGUGAUUGAAAAUGAUGAAGUGCUAGAAGAAGACAAGAUCCAAGGAUUAGAAAAUCAGCAGGAAGAAUUUCCCAAAUGUAGUGCAUAUGGUGCUCUCCACAUUGUUGAAGCUGUUUCCCAAUUUCAGUCAGCUUUAGCAGAUCCCAGUGCAACAAAUGGCAAAGAAUUUCAGAAACAUGAACUGAGUAUAGCAGAACAGAUGUCAGAUUCUGUAAAUGCAGCAAUGGAGCACAAUGUAAUUGAAACAGCAGAGAAAGAGCAAGGGGGAAUUGUUGACAAAGAUGUCGCAGACAAUAAUGAACCAGAUAAUUUUGAAGGGGAUAAGAAAUCUGAUGGUAUCCAAGACUCUGUCGGUCUUGUUAUGGUCCAUGGAGAAGAUUUUACAGGUUUAGACCCGCUAUUAUCUGGCCCUCUUCCUAUUUUGAAUAAAGAAAAGGUACAUGAAGAAGUCAUCAUAGAAGAAUUACCUGCACCAAUAACUGCAACAUCAUUUGCUCUUCAACCAGUAGAAGAUUUUGUCAAGAAAGAUAUUAAACCUGAUAGCUCAGACAGUAAUGAAGGAACCACCACCUCCACAUAUGAAGCAAAGACUAUAGAUACACAAGAAACCAUGAACAGCUCACAGUGUGAUCAGCCUCAACAGUUACUGCUUGAAGAACCUGAAGUUGUCAAGUUUGAAAACAGUGAGACUCUGAGCACCUGCAUGAAGCUGGUGGAAUGCAGUUCAGCGACAGAAUUGAUCUUCCCUAAUGUAUUCAACAAGGAGAGACAAGGCACAUCUGAUAAAGCCACAUGUUUUACUUCUGAAUCCAAUCAGGAGAAAGUCACAGGGACUGUAGGCUUUGCUGCUGAAUCGGAACAGAAGAAAGUUAUUGCAAAUGCUGAUGAUUCUAGUGAGGAACAGUGUCUGCUUCAGAAACCAACUCUAGGGGCAGAUGUGGGUGAAGAGACUCCAUUACUUCUGAGUACAGAAAGCAUCAACUCUUCAAGUUAUUCUAGUGAACAGCACAGCAAAGUAGUCAAGGACAUCCCCAUGACCAACAUCACCCUGAUGCAAGCCAAAGAUGAAGCUGUGGAAGAAUCUGAGAAAAGUCCACUGUUGAGCCCUAGGGAGCCAUCAGAAGGAGCCUUCAGAGCGCCAAAUCACUCUGCAAGAAACAAUAAACCACUUCGUAGCUUAAUGACGGAGGACGGCAUUGGAACGUGGUCGCCAUUGAAGGAACAAGAACCGGUUCGAAAGAACAGCACCACGGUUAGUUCUCCUAGAAGCAAAGAAAAGCAGAAGCCAAAGUCAUCCCUUUUUGCCAUUUGCAUGUGCUGCACCACAGCUACGAACUGA